Molecule: ribosomal RNA, 500 nt
Filed under: uncultured bacterium
Lineage: Bacteria
Description: partial 16S ribosomal RNA
Rfam family: Bacterial small subunit ribosomal RNA
Source: RNAcentral
AUUGAACGCUGGCGGCAGGCCUAACACAUGCAAGUCGAGCGGAUGAAGGUAGCUUGCUACCUGAUUCAGCGGCGGACGGGUGAGUAAUGCCUAGGAAUCUGCCUGGUAGUGGGGGACAACGUUUCGAAAGGAACGCUAAUACCGCAUACGUCCUACGGGAGAAAGUGGGGGAUCUUCGGACCUCACGCUAUCAGAUGAGCCUAGGUACGAUUAGCUAGUUGGUGAGGUAAAGGCUCACCAAGGCGACGAUCGUUAACUGGUCUGAGAGGAUGAUCAGUCACACUGGAACUGAGACACGGUCCAGACUCCUAUGGGAGGCAGCAGUGGGGAAUAUUGGACAAUGGGCGAAAGCCUGAUCCAGCCAUGCCGCGUGUGUGAAGAAGGUCUUCGGAUUGUAAAGCACUUUAAGUUGGGAGGAAGGGCAGUAAGUUAAUACCUUGCUGUUUUGACGUUACCGACAGAAUAAGCACCGGCUAACUUCGUGCCAGCAGCCGCCGUAA